GAAAAGGGUAUUUCCAUUUAAAUCACACUGACAGGAACGUUUCUGGACAGGGUAAAUGAUCCGGUGCGAAUUUAAUGAAACUAUGACGAGUUGGAUGAGUAUAUGAUGUAAUAAGAAAGUAAAAUAUAAGCUGACAUGACGUUAAACAUGGUGAUCAAUUACAGUUUUGGAGAUACUUGUAAGAUUGAAUUGCAUACAAUUGUUUGAAUGGCUGGCAAUGACACAAAAUAUCGUCAUAAAUAGAAUUUUGAGGCCUUGGGAAGAAAAUGCAUCUGGAAAUCAAAUAAAAAGCCUAUAACACUAAUUUAGCAUUUAAGGAAGGAAUUACCGCUUUAACAAGGAAACGGAACGCGAUGAAAAUAUGGUUUCUGAAAAGGAGGAAACAUCUGACAAAUCUUACUAUAAAUGGAUUUAAAAGGUUUAAAAACAAGACAUAAGAAAAUAAGACCGAAACUACUGUGUCUAACAUGGAUCUAAGAAUGAGGAAAGUGAUGUGUUUGAAAUGCAGAAAAAUCUAGUGGAAAUACUGCUUCUGAAAAAUAUUGUGGUAUCUAUGAUUUUACGAUUAUAAACUGUUGUCUAUCUACAGUGAUAGAACAAAAAGGAGGCAAGGUGAUAUUAUUUUGAUAUUGAAACAAAUCAAUAUGAACAUAUAGUUGGAAAAAAAAUAAUGAGUUCAAAGUGUGUAAUAUAAAUUAUGUUUCUUAAAUGGAACCAUCUCGAAGAUAUUCAUCAAAACAUGGUUCCGAUUCCGAAAUGACAACGAAAUCUAAAAUGCGGAUGGACAAAUUGAACGCUAAAAAAACCUCCUUUGGAACAGAAAUCUACAAAAUUGGCAAGUAGAUCAAUGUAUAUUUUAUAUUUCAAAAGUUGUUUUUAAUUUCAUUUUGAAGAUUUUAUAAAUCAUGUUUUUCCAAAACGAAAAGAAAAUAGACCGAAGAACUGUUAUUAAUUAUAUUUACAAUACACCAUUGGAGCCAAUAGAAAGAAUGGAGAAUCUACCUAUGUAUCCAUAACUUAAUCUUGGAAUUAAACAUAAAGUCCAGCGGACUAAGCUGA
Pecten maximus is the source of this 1059-nucleotide long non-coding RNA. RefSeq lists it as uncharacterized. NCBI's taxonomy places the organism in Eukaryota, Metazoa, Mollusca, Bivalvia, Pectinida, Pectinidae. The transcript is spliced from 2 exons. The record is from RefSeq and is a predicted model, not a curated record.